GUUUUAAUAAUUUAACAAAAAUAUUGGUCUUGUAAGCCGAAAUUGAGGAUUUCCUUUUAAAACU
RNAcentral lists this transfer RNA (64 nucleotides) under Histeridae sp. BMNH 1274745. RNAcentral's name for it is "tRNA-Thr". It matches the Rfam family "tRNA". Rfam says of the family: Transfer RNA (tRNA) molecules are approximately 80 nucleotides in length. Their secondary structure includes four short double-helical elements and three loops (D, anti-codon, and T loops). Lineage: Eukaryota; Metazoa; Arthropoda; Insecta; Coleoptera; Histeridae. The record is from RNAcentral.